Molecule: ribosomal RNA, 116 nt
Filed under: Citrobacter koseri
Lineage: Bacteria; Pseudomonadati; Pseudomonadota; Gammaproteobacteria; Enterobacterales; Enterobacteriaceae
Also listed under: 24 other names
Source: RNAcentral
CCUGGCGGCCGUAGCGCGGUGGUCCCACCUGACCCCAUGCCGAACUCAGAAGUGAAACGCCGUAGCGCCGAUGGUAGUGUGGGGUCUCCCCAUGCGAGAGUAGGGAACUGCUAGGC